AGUACCUCGACUUUACAGAAGAUCACAGCAAAAUAAUACUGUUUUCAAGCAGUAUUGUGUUCCUGUUGGUGAGUAAGGUGACCAGAGCUCCUGGGGGGAUUGGGGAUUGGGUCAAUAAUGCGCUUGCGAUGCCUCUGGUGUUGCAGGCGUCUGUAAGCUACGGUAAUCUCUUACCAUCAGGUGAGCCGUACGCUUGUUUGCCGACCUGGUGAUAUAAA
RNAcentral lists this unclassified non-coding RNA (218 nucleotides) under Melitaea cinxia (Glanville fritillary). RNAcentral describes it as "misc RNA ENSMCXG00005014460.1". The record is from RNAcentral. Lineage: Eukaryota; Metazoa; Arthropoda; Insecta; Lepidoptera; Nymphalidae.